RNAcentral lists this long non-coding RNA (508 nucleotides) under Lathyrus oleraceus (garden pea). RNAcentral describes it as "Pisum sativum (pea) long non-coding RNA (PSAT_LNC012567)". The record is from RNAcentral. Lineage: Eukaryota; Viridiplantae; Streptophyta; Magnoliopsida; Fabales; Fabaceae.
UAGGUUCAAGGGGGUUUCAAACAAGGGAUGAUAUUAUUUCAGGGUUGACUUUUUGGCUAACUGGCUAAAAGUAAAAAAAUAAAAAAAUAAAAAAAUAAAAUAUCCUUUAUCAUAUCAGUAUGCAGAAGUAAACAACAACAUCAACAAGAGUCAAUUCAAGUUCUAGAGACUAACAUACAUGAGUGAAAUCACACAAGAAAGAAAGAGAUAGAGUUUUGUAUGUUAUCGAUAUAAGGCUCAAAGCUCAAAAGGGUUAAAGAACUGCUAAAUAUGUAUAAUUCAGAUUUUAGUCAUACCUACCAUACUAAAAAUGCACAUCAAUUUUUUCACAUCACACCACAAGACUUUAGUUAAGAGAACUAAGAAAAAUACUCAUAAUUGUAACUCAAAAACCAAAGAAAAAAAACAUGCAAUUUUUUUUAUUUAAGAAAGCAAACAAAAACCGAAAACAGAGAAAAAUGAAAACAAAAUAAAGAAAACAAAACAAAUAAAUGGUUCCCUUCCCCAC